This 992-nucleotide ribosomal RNA is filed under the name uncultured archaeon. RNAcentral describes it as "bacterial SSU rRNA". It matches the Rfam family "Archaeal small subunit ribosomal RNA", at positions 1 to 989 of the family's 1478-position model. The record is from RNAcentral.
AUUCUGGUUGAUCCUGCCAGAGACUACCGCUAUCGGAGUCCGAUUGAGCCAUGCUAGUCCACCGGCCUUUGGCCGGGGCGGAUAGCUGAGUAACACGUGGCCAACCUGCCCUAUGGACGAGGAUAACCUCGGGAAACUGAGGCUAACCCUCGAUAGUAGAGAGUUACUGGAAAUGUUCUCUCUGCGAAAUGUUCCGACGCCAUAGGAUGGGGCCGCGGCUGAUUAGGUCGUUGGUGAGGUAACGGCUCACCAAGCCGAUAAUCAGUAGCAGCCGUGAGAGCGGGAGCUGUCAGUCGGCUUCUGAGACAAGAAGCCGGGCCCUACGGGGUGCAGCAGGCACGAAACCUUCACAAUGCACGCAAGUGCGAUGGGGGGACUCCGAGUGUGGUCUUCCCACAAGGAAGGCCACUUUUCUGCACUGUAAGGAGGUGCCGGAACAAGGGGUGGGCAAUACUGCUGCCAGCCGCCGCGGUAAUAGCAGAACCCCGAGUGGUAGUCGUUAUUAUUGGGCUUAAAGUGUUCGUAGCCGGCCGUGUAAGUCCGCUGUGAAAUCCAGGCGCUUAACGUCUGGGCGUGCAGCGGAUACUGCACUGGCUUGGGACCGGACGGUGUCGAGGCUAUUCCAAGAGUAGGGGUGAAAUCCUAAAAUUCCUGGAGGAGCGCCUGUGGCGGAAGCGCUCGACAAGUACGGAUCCGACGGUGAGGAACGAAAGCCAGGGGAGCAAAGCGGAUUAGAUACCCGCGUAGUCCUGGCCGUUAACAUUGCCUGUUUGAUGUCAGCCAACCUUCGGGGUUGGCUGGUGCCGAAGUGAAAACGUUAAACAGGCCGCCUGGGUAGUACGGUCGCAAGGCUGAAACUUAAAGGAAUUGACGGGGGAGCACCACAACCGGUGGAGGCUGCGGUUUAAUUAGAUCAAACGCAGCGCACCCUACCAGAGCCGACAGCAGAAUGACGGUCAGCUUGAAGAGCUUACCUGACGCGCUGAGAGGAG